This is a long non-coding RNA of Dama dama (fallow deer), 1453 nucleotides long. RefSeq lists it as uncharacterized. The record is from RefSeq and is a predicted model, not a curated record. NCBI's taxonomy places the organism in Eukaryota, Metazoa, Chordata, Mammalia, Artiodactyla, Cervidae. The transcript is spliced from 2 exons.
UCUCAGGUUCAUACCUGUGUUCACUUCCUCCUCAAUACCUGCCCCUCCCCUGAGGGGCCAGCUCUCAGCCCCCUCCUGCCCCGCACCCUCUUCAGUUAUUUUGUUAUUUCUGGGUGGAGGAGAGCAGGGACCGCGAAAAUGUCAGGCCGGCACAGCACCCAGCCCUGCCUCUCCUGCUCUCUGACUGCCAUGGAGACCCUGCCUGCCAGAGAGGAGGGGCACUCGGGGCGCAGGCCUACCUCCUGCAGAUGAGCUCCUGGGGGAGACAUGUGCACACAGCAGACCUGGUGGGCUUCCUGCAAGAAGAACACCUUGAUGGCCCUUGUGUUUUCCAGCACAAAUGCAAGUGAUGGUUUCUUCCUGCCAGUGCACGUGAUGCUGGCCCCCAGAAGGAGAGUCCACACGCCAAUCCCUGCCCGUGACCCCAGCCUCAUCUGGGGAAGGGUCUUUUUGAUGUAGCGUCAAGCAUGAGGAGAUGAGGACACUCUCGGUUGUGGCCUUAAUCCAAUGGCAGGCGGUCCAGCAGAGACCCACCGCAAAGAGGCGGCAUGGAGAGAUGUCCGGAGCCCCCAGAGCUGGCCGGGCCGGAAGGGACUCUCUCACAAGAGCUUCCGGAAGAGGCACACCCCUGCCCGCACCCUGAUUUUGGACUCUGGCCCCAGACCGGUGAGAACAGAUCUCUGUUGUUUCAGGCACCAGGCCCCGUCUGUGAUCGUUUAUUGUGUCUGCCCCAGGAAGCGCCGACGCCCCUUUCCCACACAGAAAGCAGGCCCAUCAGCUGCUCUGCCCUUCUCCUCCUGGUCCUGCAGCCCACACGGCAUCGUCAUGCGUUUCCCACAGCUGCCUGGUAUUUGGCAGUGUGGACAGACGGUGGCCUCUUCAUCAGCCCUGAUGAUGUCGGGAUCACCCCACACCUCCUGCCCUUGCCAGCCAGGUGGUACGGAGUGCCUGCAUGCAGCCUUAGUCAUUCAGCCAUGUCAAGCUCUUUGCAGCCUCAAGGACGGUAGCCCACCAGCCUCCUCUGUCCAUGGGGUUCUCCAGGCAAGAAUACUGGAGUGGGUUGCCAUGCCCUCCUCCAGGGGAUCUUCCUGACCUAGAAAUCGAACCUACAUCUCCUAUGUCUCCUGCAUGGGCAGGCAAGUUCUUUACCACUAGUGCCACCUGGGAAGACCUGGCACUGAAUAACCAUGAAUGAAGUUGCUGCUGGAGACCGCAGGUAUGGCAGCGAGGCUCACAGCUGAGUGCACCUGUGACCUUGCUCAGGACGGCCAAGUUGCCCUUGGAGCUAUUCCAUUCACACCAGGGAGAGACACAGCUGAAAAGAGAUUGCCUUUUGCCCCUUGGCCUUCCUCUUCUUCCUUCUUGGUGUGUAGAUGUGACAGCUGGAGCCCCUGCAGCCUUUUCUCUGUCCAUGAGGAUGGAAGCUAAGGCUAAGAAUGACAGAUCAGAAACA